GCAAAGGACGGCAUCCGUGUAAAUAGUGUGGCGCCUUGGUACAUAAAUACAGACCUUGCGCAGCAGGUUUUGGCCAACCCCGACUUCAAAGCAGAAGUGGUGGGUCGAACUCCAUUGCGGCGAGUGGGCGAGCCGUAUGAGGUAGCUGGCUUGGUGGCCUUCCUGUGCAUGCCCACUGCCGGCUUCAUCACCGGGCAGACUAUCAGUAUUGAUGGAGGCUUCACUAUAAAUGGAUUCUAUCCUACAGACUAGUUAUUUUUCUCGUCUCACAACCUUUGCUUUGAUGAUCUCUUAUCGUGAAGUUGGUAGAUUGUACAAUUGUUUAGGAAUUGUGAACUGUAGGGAC
Molecule: long non-coding RNA, 346 nt
Filed under: Physcomitrium patens
Lineage: Eukaryota; Viridiplantae; Streptophyta; Bryopsida; Funariales; Funariaceae
Description: long non-coding RNA (PPAT_LNC005066)
Source: RNAcentral